AAAUAGACCAAUAACCGACAGUCAAAAGUAUGUCGGUGACAGGACCACCUGAAAGACUUCCAGCUAAGACGGGAGGAACAAGGGGAACCAACGACAGGUCGGACAAUCCUCUGCAUGAAACCCUAUCAGUGAGAAACAUAGCCGUAAAUGAAGGAGGUGUCGGGAGACAUUAAAGUUUUGACUGGCCGACAAAAGGCGUCUAUGGUUGUGUACUUAGUGCCGCCAAGCUUGUGCACCGGUCUGUAUGAAGAACUGGAAACACUGUGUCUUCCCCAGUCGGCCUGCCAUA
Molecule: long non-coding RNA, 289 nt
Organism: Branchiostoma floridae (Florida lancelet)
Lineage: Eukaryota; Metazoa; Chordata; Leptocardii; Amphioxiformes; Branchiostomatidae
Exons: 3
Source: RefSeq, a predicted model, not a curated record